GCAACCUACCUUUUAUUGGGGGAUAGCCCGAAGAAAUUCGGAUUAAUACCGCAUAACACUGUUUGAGGGCAUCUGAGGACAGUUAAAGCUACGGCGAUAAAAGAUGGGCAUGCGUGUCAUUAGCUAGUUGGUUGAGGUAACGGCUCACCAAGGCGACGAUGACUAGGGGUUCUGAGAGGAUGAUCC
This 186-nucleotide ribosomal RNA is filed under the name uncultured Bacteroidota bacterium. RNAcentral's name for it is "uncultured Bacteroidetes bacterium partial 16S ribosomal RNA". It matches the Rfam family "Bacterial small subunit ribosomal RNA", at positions 121 to 306 of the family's 1533-position model. The record is from RNAcentral. Lineage: Bacteria; Pseudomonadati; Bacteroidota.